Non-coding RNA from Cordylochernes scorpioides, 78 nucleotides. NCBI's taxonomy places the organism in Eukaryota, Metazoa, Arthropoda, Arachnida, Pseudoscorpiones, Chernetidae. The record is from the annotation of a GenBank genome assembly.
GUUCACACUUGGUUAUCUCAUGGUUAAACCGUUUGGUUUUCGACCACUACGACCCGGGUUCGAUUCCCGCAUUGGACA